GAGCCCUUUCUUCAGGCCACUGGUCUUUGUAGCACUGAUGUUCUCAGCCACAGAAGUGUACUUAGAGGUACCCUCCCUUUACACUUCAUACAGAGACUCAAAGAAGAGACUAAGCUAUCAGUCUCAUCCAGGAUUUCACUGCUGAGCUGAAUACAAAUCAUCAGUUAAGUGAAGCAAUGGUGACAAGAAUUUGCUUAGGAAACAAGAGUAUUUACCAACAAUUCAACAGAUAUCACCAAAUUCAUACUACACAAUGUAAAUCGAGGAUAUACAAAUUCAAAUUUUCAAGAAAGCUUCAAACUAACCAGACCUGUUUCAACAGGCCUGGGACAAUGUUCACAGGAUGAGCAUGUAAUAAGAAUAUUGUUUAUUUUCUGAA
This is a long non-coding RNA of Monodelphis domestica (gray short-tailed opossum), 379 nucleotides long. RefSeq lists it as uncharacterized. The record is from RefSeq and is a predicted model, not a curated record. Lineage: Eukaryota; Metazoa; Chordata; Mammalia; Didelphimorphia; Didelphidae.